RNAcentral lists this ribosomal RNA (403 nucleotides) under Fusobacteriota bacterium. RNAcentral describes it as "Fusobacteria bacterium partial 16S ribosomal RNA". It matches the Rfam family "Bacterial small subunit ribosomal RNA", at positions 355 to 776 of the family's 1533-position model. The record is from RNAcentral. Lineage: Bacteria; Fusobacteriati; Fusobacteriota.
UGGGGAAUAUUGCACAAUGGGGGAAACCCUGAUGCAGCGACGCCGCGUGAGCGAAGAAGGUUUUCGAAUCGUAAAGCUCUGUCCUAUGGGAAGAUAAUGACGGUACCAUAGGAGGAAGCCCCGGCUAACUACGUGCCAGCAGCCGCGGUAAUACGUAGGGGGCAAGCGUUGUCCGGAAUCACUGGGCGUAAAGGGUUCGCAGGCGGAAAUGCAAGUCAGUUGUGAAAGGCAGAGGCUCAACCUCUGUAAGCAAUUGAAACUGUAUUGCUUGAGAUGUGGAGAGGCAAGUGGAAUUCCUAGUGUAGCGGUGAAAUGCGUAGAUAUUAGGAAGAAUACCGGUGGCGAAGGCGACUUGCUGGACACAAACUGACGCUGAGGAACGAAAGCGUGGGUAGCAAACAGG